CAUUAUGUGGCCUUUUUAUUGGGUUUAACGAUGGAGUACAAUGUGUUCAUUUGAUGUUUUUAGCUGAGAUUGUGAUCAAUUUCAUUUUGUGGAUUUUCAGGUUUUGCAAGAUGAUAGUAGUGUAUGAGAGCGUCAAGAGGAGGCUGUGGGUAGAAGGCGGUUCUUUGCAGGCUAGACAAGGUUGAAAAUGGUUUUUAUUUUAUUUAUUUUUCCUGUUUUUGUUAGACCCUUUCUGUUCACUUAUUCUCCCCGAAUAUUAUGCCUAAAGUAGUUAAAUAAAUUAUCACAACUAUUCAAAAGUAUAUAUAUGUUUGGUAUCAUCUCAUGUUCCGUACAAAUUGAGCAAUGAAAAGAUGAAAGAUCAGUUACAGAGAAACAGGUGGUGCAAAUGUUACAUUUGUAUUUUUUUGGUUUCAUUCUUUUGUUGUACUAAUGCCUCAUUGCCUUUUUUUUUUCCUUCUAUGAUGUGUCUCUGGAACCAGCAAAAAUUCCCUCUUUGGACUUGCUCCACUUGAAGCAGUGCUAUUUAAUAUUGAUAGAACUCCAUAUGAUUUAGAUCCCAUUCAUUUCAAUGCCUUCCACAAAAUGCUUCCAUAGGUAAAGUGAUUGUUUUGUUUCCUACUAUUCUGUCAGAAGGAAAAUAUGCAGGAUUUAUUUGGUCAUAAUUUGACAUUUUUCUUGGGUUUUAUGGACUACAAUGUGUUCAUUAGAAAGCAUUAGUUCAUUUGGUGUUUUUAGAUGAGGUUGUGGUGAUUUUCAUUUAUUUUCCUUUUGUGGCUUUUCAGUUUGUGCAAGAUGUUAACAGUGUACAAGAGAAUCCAGAAGAGGCUAUGAGUAGAAGGAGGUUCUUUGCAAGUCAGACAAGAUUGAAUAUAUAUAUAUAUUUUUUUUUUUCUUUUUCCUGUUUUUGUUCGAAACUUUUUGUUUACUUAUUGUCCCAGAAUAUUAUGCUCAAAGUAGUUAAAUUUUUGUCCAAAAUGUUUUAUUUGUGUUUCUUGAUUUGAAUGAAAGUUUGGUAUUUCAUCCUUUUUUAAGGAAUUUUCUGUUAAAUUUGGUCAUAGCCAACUGCUAUUAUACCAUUUUUAAUAAUUUGUUACAAACUUGAUUAUAACCUACGUAUUUGCUUGAACAUUAAUUUCUCACAGUUAACACAAGUCUUAUUGAUCAACUCUUAUCAUUAAUUCUGCAAUCUACCAUAUAGGCUAAUCACAUCAUUUUAUAUUUCUUGAGUUGUAGGUAUUGUGCUACAAAUUUCAAGUGGAACCAAGUGUUAUUCUAUUGAGUUGUAGGUAUUCUGCUACAAAUUUCAAGUGGAACCAAGUGUUAUUCUACUAAGAUUUGUAGGUGUUGUGACAUAAAUGGCAAUACAGUUUAUUUUUGUACUAUAUCAGCUUACUUCCUCAUUGGAUUAACUUAGUCUAUAAAUGGCAAUAUAUGUACCAGUUUUGACCAUAGGUGUCUAUAGAUUUUCUAUGCUUCUGUACAACAAACUUGCGCAAGGUUUAUGGGUAUUUGGUUUGAUUUAAUUAAAGUUUGGAUCUUUUGGUUUCAUUAUGUUAUAGGUAUUUAAUAAUUUGUGCAAUGAAUGAAAUUAUACUUUUCUCCACCAGAUUCGUACAAUGCUUGGCGUAUUUAAAUUGUAGUUUAUGCAAUUGAUUUUUUUGCCUAUUUAAUAAAUUGUCACAGUUCUAAAUUUGUUAUCAAUUAAUUAAAU
RNAcentral lists this long non-coding RNA (1714 nucleotides) under Prunus dulcis (almond). RNAcentral's name for it is "sRNA ncRNA". Lineage: Eukaryota; Viridiplantae; Streptophyta; Magnoliopsida; Rosales; Rosaceae. The record is from RNAcentral.